This 253-nucleotide ribosomal RNA is filed under the name uncultured bacterium. RNAcentral describes it as "partial 16S ribosomal RNA". It matches the Rfam family "Bacterial small subunit ribosomal RNA", at positions 524 to 776 of the family's 1533-position model. The record is from RNAcentral.
GACAGAGGGUGCAAACGUUGUUCGGAAUUACUGGGCGUAAAGCGUGUGUAGGCGGCUUUGCAAGUCGGAUGUGAAAGCCCCGGGCUCAACCCGGGAAGUGCACUCGAUACUGCAGAGCUUGAGUGUCGGAGAGGUUGGUGGAAUUCCGGGUGUAGUGGUGAAAUGCGUAGAGAUCCGGAGGAACCCCAGAGGCGAAGGCGGCGCCCUGGCUCGCAACUGACGCUCAGACACGACAGCAUGGGGAGCGAACGGG